CAGUCGCCGCGGGAAUACGUAGGGUGCAAGCGUUAAUCGGAAUUACUGGGCGUAAAGCGUGCGCAGGCGGUUUGUUAAGACAGAUGUGAAAUCCCCGGGCUUAACCUGGGAACUGCAUUUGUGACUGGCCGGCUAGAGUAUGGCAGAGGGAGGUGGAAUUCCACGUGUAGCAGUGAAAUGCGUAGAUAUGUGGAGGAACACCGAUGGCGAAGGCAGCCUCCUGGGCCAAUACUGACGCUCAUGCACGAAAGCGUGGGGAGCAAACAGGAUUAGAUACCCGCGUAGUCCCUGUCUCUUAUAA
Molecule: ribosomal RNA, 301 nt
Filed under: uncultured bacterium
Lineage: Bacteria
Description: partial 16S ribosomal RNA
Rfam family: Bacterial small subunit ribosomal RNA
Source: RNAcentral